GGAAAUUGGGUGACACCUCUGCUACAUUCAGAGUUGAGAGACCCUUGCCUGAUUCAGCAUCAUUCACCUGAACCUUCCCAAAAUCAGGUGAAACAAGGCCACAAAAGAAUGGUAUAUUACAGAUUUACAAACACAGAGAGAAUCUUUCAAACUGAACUGUAGUUAACCUGGCUCUGUGAAGAAACUUCACCACAUCACGAUGGUGAGUUCAGUUUAGUUUCCUUCCACCUCCCCCCAACCCUUUGGCUUUCAUGGCAUUAUUGUCUUUAAUAUAUGUUUUACUGGACAUAUCACAUUAAAUCUUUAUUGCCCUCAAAUCCAUUUACCUAUCUCAGAUAAGUAAAUGUAACCUUGUAAAACAGCUAUUAUUGAAAAUAUUAGCUUUAAAAACAUUAUUCCUGUUUACAAAGAAAUAUAGGAGUCACAUUUUCCACAGAGUCCAUCUACAGUAUUAGUAUUUUACUGUUAUAAUGCUCAGUAGCCUGUAGCAGUAACAAACUAGUGGCUAUUAAUGCUAAUGCAGUGUUCUCAUAGAAUAACUGUGUUCCUGCACUUUUACUGUAUUACAGACAAAUCUACAACAAAAAAAAAAGAUCAACUUUUU
Molecule: long non-coding RNA, 604 nt
Filed under: Gallus gallus (chicken)
Lineage: Eukaryota; Metazoa; Chordata; Aves; Galliformes; Phasianidae
Description: long non-coding RNA NONGGAT002107
Source: RNAcentral